Ataeniobius toweri is the source of this 81-nucleotide non-coding RNA. The record is from the annotation of a GenBank genome assembly. Lineage: Eukaryota; Metazoa; Chordata; Actinopteri; Cyprinodontiformes; Goodeidae.
GCUGUGAUGGCUGAGUGGUUAAGGCGUUGGAUUUGGAAUCCAGCUGGAUUCCCCACACAGAUUCCAGCCCUGCUCAUAGUA